GCUCAGGAUGAACGCUAGCUACAGGCUUAACACAUGCAAGUCGAGGGGUAGCAGGGUAGCAAUACCGCUGACGACCGGCGCACGGGUGAGUAACACGUAUCCAACCUUCCCAUAACUCAGGGAUAGCCUUUCGAAAGAAAGAUUAAUACCUGAUAGUACUUAAGAAAGGCAUCUUUUUUAAGUUAAAGAUUUAUUGGUUAUGGAUGGGGAUGCGUUCCAUUAGAUAGUUGGUGAGGUAACGGCUCACCAAGUCUUCGAUGGAUAGGGGUUCUGAGAGGAAGGUCCCCCACAUUGGUACUGAGACACGGACCAAACUCCUACGGGAGGCAGCAGUGAGGAAUAUUGGUCAAUGGGCGAGAGCCUGAACCAGCCAAGUAGCG
Molecule: ribosomal RNA, 380 nt
Filed under: uncultured Bacteroidales bacterium
Lineage: Bacteria; Pseudomonadati; Bacteroidota; Bacteroidia; Bacteroidales
Description: bacterial SSU rRNA
Rfam family: Bacterial small subunit ribosomal RNA
Source: RNAcentral